GAGGAAGUGAAGCCCAGAGCACCCCCUGAAGGCCUAGGGGGCUGAGGAAGAUAAGGAGUACCAAAAAGCCACGGUGGGAACGGGGUCCAGGCCUAUUCCAGGAGGGAUGGAGAGAAAGAAGCAGCUUAGCCAUGGAAAGCUUAACAUCUGAAAGCUUUCCGAGGAAGGAAUAUUACACUUUGCCCUGGCAACUGAAAAGAACAGGUUUUGGCUUGUUGCUGAGACUUUGAACCCAGCUCCAAUGUCAUUAAUCCUUCCAUGGAAGAGAAAACCAAGACUCAGGGAAGUUAAAGAACUUGUGAAAGAUGCUUCCGUUGAGUCAGUGGAGUGGGGACGGGAAUCUGACUUGUUAGCUUCCAAGAUUCCAACUUGAAGGUUAUGCUGUCUUCUCUGCAGUGAGGGCUUCAUGAGCUGUUAUUACUACAACUGUACACAUGAAUGAGGAAGACUGAUUUCACAGACUAUGAAAAUGAUUAAAAGGCACAUAAAACAAGAGGAUUCAACAGACCCAAAGUGAACCAGUCAUGAAGAGUAAAGUGACUGAGCUUCUCACUGAAAUUCUCCUGUCACUGGGGCCGGCCUGGUGGCUCAGUGGUUAAGUUCGCAAGUUCUGCUUUGGUGGUCCGGGGUUCGCUGGUUUGGAUCCCGG
Molecule: long non-coding RNA, 649 nt
Organism: Equus quagga
Lineage: Eukaryota; Metazoa; Chordata; Mammalia; Perissodactyla; Equidae
Exons: 3
Source: RefSeq, a predicted model, not a curated record